UACGUAGGUCCCGAGCGUUGUCCGGAUUUAUUGGGCGUAAAGCGAGCGCAGGUGGUUUAUUAAGUCUGGUGUAAAAGGCAGUGGCUCAACCAUUGUAUGCAUUGGAAACUGGUAGACUUGAGUACUGGAGAGGCAGACGGAAUUCCUAGUGUAGCGGUGAAAUGCGUAGAUAUUAGGAGGAACACCAGUGGCGAAGGCGGUCUGCUGGACAGCAACUGACGCUGAGGCGCGAAAGCGUGGGGAGCAAACAGG
Molecule: ribosomal RNA, 252 nt
Filed under: uncultured bacterium
Lineage: Bacteria
Description: partial 16S ribosomal RNA
Rfam family: Bacterial small subunit ribosomal RNA
Source: RNAcentral